This 1378-nucleotide long non-coding RNA is filed under the name Malus domestica (apple). RNAcentral's name for it is "long non-coding RNA (MDOM_LNC013375)". The record is from RNAcentral. Lineage: Eukaryota; Viridiplantae; Streptophyta; Magnoliopsida; Rosales; Rosaceae.
AUGAAUAUUUGGUUAUAAAGUCAUUUAUAUAGUCACUUCUUUAAGUGACCUAAACAACCAAAACCCUAAUUCAUCACAUACUAUUGAAGGAAAUAUUUUGUCCUAGCUAAGAACAAGUAUGAACAUUUGAAUACAUAUGCUAGCAAUUAACACUUUAAAGUAGUCAUGCAUCCAAAAACAAUUCAUAAAACCCAUGACUUUCAAAGCCUAGUAUAUGGUGAACCAAAAUAAACUCUUUAACAACAUUAAAGAGAAGUAAAGAUUUAGAGUUUCUUUACCCUUGAAGCUCAUCCUUGUUUACACAAGGGAUUCACCCAAGUGGAGGGCCUUCAAGUCACCUCCAUGCUCCUUGAAUCCUCCUUGUGUUUUCCUCCCUUUAGUGCUCCUUUGAAGAUUUGAGGAAAUAAGGAUUUGUUCUCCAAAACACCAAAAGCUUGAUGUCUCUAAGUCUCUACACCAAGGAUGUAUUUUGUGAAGAUGAUAUGGAUGACUUUAGGAAGAAGAGAGAUUGCUAGAUGUCCCUUCCUUUAGUGGCUGGCCUCUUGGAAGAAAAUGGAGUAAACGUUUCCCCAAUUUCAACUAGAAAACCCCUUAAUAAAAAUAAAGCUAUAAAAUUCCUUUUAUACUUCAUUUCUUUGGUGAGUGGCAAACUUGCAAUUAAGCAAACUUGCCCAUUCACCCUAAAUGGCCGGCCAUUCUUUGUUAUUGGGAUAAUUUGCCCAUUUUGUUUUAGUUGUCAUACAACUUAAACAUAAUGGGCCUUUUGGACCAAAACGCUUUUGGGCCCCGUAACCCAAAACCAACAUAUAAGCCCAAUACGAACCUUUCGUAUAAUUAAUUAACUAAUUAAUUAAUCUUUACCAUUAUUCAAUUAAACCAUUUAAUUGCUUAUCCAUUUCAUAUAAUUUCUUCACAUACAUCCUUACUCAGUGUACGAUCCAUUAGGUUCCAAUUAGCGAGGCAGUGGGCGAUGUUACUCUUAACGAUCGAUUGUGAAUUGAAACCACAUUUCAAUUCUCCCUUUUUUGUUGAUUAGUGUUUGCUAAACCAAUAGGGCUUCCACAAACCAUGAGUGACGCCUAGCAGCAUAUCAUGGUUACCCAAGCUAAGCAGAAUUGGUUGGAGAACCUAUCCAGUUACAACUACAAUGCAAUACGGUCCUUCUCUAAUACAAUACUCUUAAUCACAUUGUUUAAGUGAUAGUUUUGUUUCAUGUCUACUAUCCAAUGUGAUACUUUCCUAUAUGAUUCCCUUGAAUAUGAUUUGGAACAAACUUCCUAAGUCAUAUUCAUUUGCUUUGGCCAAAGACUUUAGAAUCAUAUCUCAGAGUAUUCUCCCUCCACCAUGGAAGGUUAGAGAUCCCUUGUUGUACAUUCAU